AUUGAACGCUGGCGGCAGGCUUAACACAUGCAAGUCGAGCGGGGGAAGGUAGCUUGCUACCGGACCUAGCGGCGGACGGGUGAGUAAUGCUUAGGAAUCUGCCUAUUAGUGGGGGACAACAUCUCGAAAGGGAUGCUAAUACCGCAUACGUCCUACGGGAGAAAGCAGGGGAUCUUCGGACCUUGCGCUAAUAGAUGAGCCUAAGUCGGAUUGGCUAGUUGGUGGGGUAAAGGCCUACCAAGGCGACGAUCUGUAGCGGGUCUGAGAGGAUGAUCCGCCACACUGGGACUUAGAAACGGCCCAGACUACUACGGGAGGCAGCAGUGGGGAAUAUUGGACAAUGGGGGGAACCCUGAUCCAGCCAUGCCGCGUGUGUGAAGAAGGCCUUAUGGUUGUAAAGCACUUUAAGCGAGGAGGAGGCUACUCUAGUUAAUACCUAGGGAUAGUGGACGUUACUCGCAGAAUAAGCACCGGCUAACUCUGUGCCAGCAGCCGCAGUAA
Molecule: ribosomal RNA, 501 nt
Filed under: uncultured bacterium
Lineage: Bacteria
Description: partial 16S ribosomal RNA
Rfam family: Bacterial small subunit ribosomal RNA
Source: RNAcentral